Hordeum vulgare subsp. vulgare (domesticated barley) is the source of this 624-nucleotide long non-coding RNA. RefSeq lists it as uncharacterized. The transcript has 4 exons. NCBI's taxonomy places the organism in Eukaryota, Viridiplantae, Streptophyta, Magnoliopsida, Poales, Poaceae. The record is from RefSeq and is a predicted model, not a curated record.
ACGCUCUAUCUUCAUUUGAAAGCUUAGACAUGCUUCUUUUUUCUCUGAUCCUGACUGAGGCUAGCUGACUCUUCUUCUUCCUAAAGCACAAGGUCAGGUGCACCUCAUAUUGCAAGUGCCUAGGGUGUGACAAUCCCAAGGGGGUCAAAGGAGGUGAGUUGAACACCGGAUCAGGAAGUGCUGAUGGCGUAGGCAACAUACCUGAUGAAGCAGUGCAAACGACCACACCAUCAAUUACUAAACCAGGUCAGGUUGAUACUACCAGCAUGGCAUAUUGUCCGGAUCAACCCUCACGGCCUAUGAGCGAGUGACCAGGAUUCUAGGUAACUGAGAGGAGCUCUGCUGCUCAGGUGCUACACAAACGGAAGCAUUCCGUGGAUACUGAAGGUGCCCUUGCAGUUGCAGAACACACAGUGCAAACUGAACCAUUGGCUAGUGACACCAAUACACAGACAAUUUCAUCUCAGACUGAACUAAAUACAAAGGAGCAUCAGGCUGCAAUAGUUAUUCAAUCAGCCUUUCGAGCAUUCUUGGUUGCCACGCGGAUGCUCUUUGGACUACGAUAUGGACAUGAAGACAUUUGUUUUAGUGCCAAAUAUUACUUACUAAUGCCCACAAAGUAUC